Pleuronectes platessa (European plaice) is the source of this 3297-nucleotide long non-coding RNA. RefSeq lists it as uncharacterized. The record is from RefSeq and is a predicted model, not a curated record. Lineage: Eukaryota; Metazoa; Chordata; Actinopteri; Pleuronectiformes; Pleuronectidae. The transcript has 3 exons.
ACUGGAAAACGAUCAUCUCUCACCCUGAAGGGUUAAAGACGCCUCACGCAGGAGAUUUAUCAUAACAAUCAUUUAAAUACUCAUAUUUAGCUUGUCUGGGUGUUUCCCCUUUUCCUUCAAUGUGUCACGGCUGUUUUUUUGCACAUUCAAAAGUUCCACUGAGUGAUAAAAGCUGAAGUCUGCAGCAAAGAGAGGCUCUGUUCAUGUGCCUGACUGGUUUGUUCCAUAAAGCAUCAGAGAGCCACAUUUAAUUCAAGCGUCUAACGGCCUGUUUGACUCAUAUCGAUACAGAACCAUCGUUAACAGCUGAUCGAGCAGCGUCUCACUGGAAUCUUCAGUCUUCAGUGGAAACGAUGUUCAAUCUCAUGUUUUGCUGAAGUGCCUUGUGGUUUAGAGUUAGUCUAUUAUAUGUAGACUCCGCCCACGUAGCUGACGACUACAGGACGUACGCAUGUAGAUAAAAUUCUUUAGUCCCUAAAAUCAAAACCACAUCAGAUGAAACUAUGGAACAAACACGUGAAGCCGGGUUCGGAUCCUCAGGUGUGAAAACGUCCUCGGUGACUUUCAGUGUAAAACAACAGGGCUAAUUUAAGAGAUGUGGUUUUGUUCUGUAAUCACUUAUAAUGAACCCGCUCUUCAUCUCCUCAGUGUCUUCCUGAAACAUCGUUUUAAUUCCUGAAUAAGCACCUGGAGACACGAGGUUCUCUCUCUCUGUGAUUAAUCAGGGUUUUGAAGAAGCUCUCGUCUUGAACAGUGCGUCACCGACAGCUCGACAGCUGAGGCAGGAUCUGAGCUCAGAUCAGCCGGCUGACAACAUGUGCUCACAUCAUCACAUUGCACAACGAGCUAAAGACCACUUGUGUGAAUUAUCGGCCGUCAUCUGUUCCUCAAACCUAUAUUUAGAGAAGGGGUUUCGCUGACAGCGGCUGAACACCUGAUGCCAGGAACAGGCCACACAGUCAUUUUGAGUUUGAAGAUGGUCACUGCAUCAGAUUUGGUGAUGUCAGAGGCUGUGGACCAAUCAGGGCUUGUGAUUCAGGAGAUCAGAGAGACAACAACACGUCAGCCUCAUGUCCUUUUCACUGUUUACAGCUUGUGAAUAAUCACUGUGCUGAAUAUCCUGAGCCGUGUGUGUGUGUCACGAGGCAUCACGAGUUCUUUUGGCCUCACAUUAUGUUUUCUUAUUGUGGAAAUGAUGAAAUUCUCCUUGUUUCUGAUGGUUUCUCAGGAUCCGAUUGGCCCAAUGUUUUCUUUUUUCAAGAGGUGACAACACAAUCAUCCUCACUGCUCCACUUUAUUUUAUCUCCUACCGCAACAAACUUAUAACAAAACACAUCAGACUCUGUGUGAGGAUAUUUAUUGGAUGAUAGAAAACACAGACCUGAUGUACAAAGACCUUUCGUGGCAUCCACCAGAAGCAGUGUGGGUUUUGUUUGCUUCAGUUCUUCUGCACGAGGAACGAGACGUAUUCACCUGUGUGUCUGCUGCACUGGUUGAACUGGGAUCUGCUGGGAGCUGCACCUGAGCUGUGCUGCAGCCGGGCUCGGACACACCCGUCCGUGCCAGUGCUGGAAGACCAUCUCAAACAAAACCACACCAAGGGCAAUUUGGCAGAGGAGCAAUCUGAGUGCAAAGGCUGUAGAUAGGAGAACAGUGGCGUGGUGAUCUCUGCUCUGACUUACAAUCGUGUGAGUGCACACCCAGAGCCAGGGAGCAGCCGAGAGCUAAAGGGCGGCGACGUGCUGAGGUGCAGCUUGUUCUGACGCCGCCUCACACUCCUGGUAAGUGCUGCAUCAGGAGUCGGGAACAUCUUGUUUUGAAAUGUUGCUCUGCGGCAGAUUCCUGCAUUGGACUGAAAUAACUUUAAAAAAGGUACGUGUCUGGACAUGCUGUUCCCGUCGUAAGGGCUGGACGUCAUCCAACGUGACGGGGCUCCACAAUAACAGGGAGGUGGAAGGAGGUGGAAGGAGGUGGAAGGAGGUGUGUUAUGUCCAGACUGAUGACAUAACACAGCUACGUGCAGCAGCAGCAUCUUCAUAUAGAACAGACAAACAACAUAAAUCCUCCCCGGCCUCUGUAGAGAAGUAUCUGUCGACUCAUUCUUCCGGAUGUCACUGGACUGGUCAUACUGGGCGAGGGACUGGUUACUCACUGCUAUUCAGUUCUUGAGGACAUUGUGUCCAAGAUGAAAAGAUGUUUGAUCCGCUGAUGAAACAAUGACACACCCACAAGGCUCUGGUUGAGUCGAAAGACGCUGUGCUUUUAUUUUGACGGUUGCUGGGUGUCACUAUGACUCUCCAGUGACUGUGUAACUUCUUUCAAUCACGUCUGUAAAGUUGGAUUUGAUUAUUUUUCUAUGUAACUUCCGCCUCCUGGAGUUUCCUGAACAUUUUGAUAUCUUUGCACAACUUGGACUUGAUCCAAGAACUUUUUUCCGUUGAACUGGUUGUUAAUUUUUGCUUAAUUAUUAGCCAGCCUCUUUUAUUGUUUAAUUUUCAGUUCAAUCCACGCUCUCUCUCUCUUUCCUUCUUUAUCUUUAUCAGCAUGUUUUAUCUCCCCUGGAAUUUACUAUGAAAAAGUACCUUUCGCUUGAUUUACUAUAAACAAGUCAUUUAAUUUACAAAUAGGAGAAUGUCGUCACCACUACGGGACUUUCAGAGUUUUUAUUUUCACUUUCUGUUGUCAGGUAAUUAAUAUUUUGUAAAAUGGAGGGAACUAAAGAAACAGAAAUCCCAUAAGAACAAUUUGUUUCAUGUUAAUGAGCUACUUAUUAUUAUUAAACUUCUUUUUUUUAAAUCAUCUCUCAUAAACAUACUUUUACCGAUUGUCUUUUUCAUGUCUUUUGGUUCAGCAAAUAUUCAUUUUGAUCCUUUUCUUUGUUUUAUCUGCCGUCUUUGAUUCUAGAAUGUGUAUUAAAUACUUUUUGGUUUUAAUCAGUCUUCUCUGUGAAGCAUUUUUUAACAUCUGUUUUGACAGGUAAUAUCAAUAAGGUUAUGAUUACUAUGACUAUUAUGAGGAUGCAGAGUUCUCCUGAAGAGAAACUGAACACUUGCACAUUAGAACAUUUGAAAAUGUGUACAUUUGCCCUAGACUUAUUUUUUUUCUACUGCAUUAUCACACCUAUCCCACCUAUAGUUUAUUAGAGUUAGUGUACUUCCUAUUUAUUUACAUAUUCCACUAUGCACAAUAUUCUGCACUUUUACUGCCUUUUUUUGCACUUCUGGUUAGAUUCUAAACUACAUUUAGUUGUAUAUGUACUUGUACUGUGCAAUGAGAAUAAAGUUGAAUCAAAUCUAA